GGUAGUCCACCCCGUAAACGUUGGGAACUAGUUGUGGGGACCAUUCCACGGUUUCCGUGACGCAGCUAACGCAUUAAGUUCCCCGCCUGGGGAGUACGGCCGCAAGGCUAAAACUCAAAGGAAUUGACGGGGACCCGCACAAGCGGCGGAGCAUGCGGAUCAAUUCGAUGCAACGCGAAGAACCUUACCAAGGCUUGACAUAUACGAGAACGGGCCAGAAAUGGUCAACUCUUUGGACACUCGUAAACAGGUGGUGCAUGGUUGUCGUCAGCUCGUGUCGUGAGUUGUUGGGUUAAGUCCCGCAACGAGCGCAACCCUCGUUCUAUGUUGCCAGCACGUAAUGGUGGGAACUCAUGGGAUACUGCCGGGGUCAACUCGGAGGAAGGUGGGGAUGACGUCAAAUCAUCAUGCCCCUUAUGUCUUGGGCUUCACGCAUGCUACAAUGGCCGGUACAAAGGGCUGCAAUACCGUGAGGUGGAGCGAAUCCCAAAAAGCCGGUCCCAGUUCGGAUUGAGGUCUGCAACUCGACCUCAUGAAGUCGGAGUCGCUAGUAAUCGCAGAUCAGCAACGCUGCGGUGCAUACGUUCCCGGGUCUUGUACACACCGCCCGUCAAGUCAUGAAAGUCGGUAACACCUGAAGCCGGUGGCCCAACCCUUGUGGAGGGAGCCGUCGAAGGUGGGAUCGGUAAUUAGGACUAAGUCGUAACAAGGUAGCCGUACCGGAAGGUGC
Molecule: ribosomal RNA, 730 nt
Filed under: uncultured bacterium
Lineage: Bacteria
Description: bacterial SSU rRNA
Rfam family: Bacterial small subunit ribosomal RNA
Source: RNAcentral